RNAcentral lists this ribosomal RNA (879 nucleotides) under uncultured soil bacterium. RNAcentral describes it as "bacterial SSU rRNA". It matches the Rfam family "Bacterial small subunit ribosomal RNA", at positions 604 to 1501 of the family's 1533-position model. The record is from RNAcentral.
AAGGCUAAACCCAGAGCGUGCUCCGACAUUCUUGCUUGAUGUGGGGAGCGGAGUGGACUGCAGCGAAGCGAUGAGUGUUAGAUAUCACAGGGACAUCCGAGGCGAAAGUGCCGCUGAUCACAAUGACGGUGAGGGAGAAAAGUUAGGGGAGCAACCGGAUUAGGUACCUUGGUAGUCCUGCCCUUAACUAUCAGAACUGGGCGUGGGCCCUGUACUGGGCUCAUGCGGUAGCUAACGCGUUAAGUCCUGCGCCUGGGGAGUUCGGUUGCAAGGCUGAAACUCAAUGGAAUUGACGGGGGCCUGCACCAGCGGUGGUACAUGUGGUUCACUUAGAUGUAUAGAGAGGAACCUUACCUGGUUCUCAAGUGCACAGGACGAUGUUUAGAAAUAAAGACUUCCCGCAAGGGACCUGUGUAGAGGUGCUGCAUGGCAGUCGUCAGCUCGUGCCAUGAGGUGUUGGGUUAAGUCCCGCACCGAGCGCAAUCUUACAAUUAGUUGCCACCCGCAAGGGGGAACUUUUGGAGGACUGCUCCGGAUAACGGAGAGGAAGGGGGGGAUGAGGUCAAUUCAGCAUGGCCCUUAUGUCCAGGGGUACACUAAUGUUACAAUGAGCGCUUCAUAGGGUCGCGAACCCGCGAGGUGGAGGUAAUCGCAAAAAAACGCGCUCAGUUAGGGUAGCAGUAUUCAACUCCAUUGCAUGAAGCUGGAAUCGCUAGUAAUGGCGUAUCAUUCAGACGCCGUGAAUACGUUCCCGGGCCUUGUACACACCGCCCGUCACUCCACGAAAGUGAGCUGUACUAGAAGUCGUCGCGCUAACCGCAAGGAAGCAGACGCCCAAGGUAUGACCCAUGAUUGGGGUGAAGUCGUAACAAGGUAACC